Plodia interpunctella (Indianmeal moth) is the source of this 1611-nucleotide long non-coding RNA. RefSeq lists it as uncharacterized. Lineage: Eukaryota; Metazoa; Arthropoda; Insecta; Lepidoptera; Pyralidae. The transcript is spliced from 4 exons. The record is from RefSeq and is a predicted model, not a curated record.
UCGAUUUUGUUUAUCGCAAUAUUUUACGUUAUUUUCGUGGUGUGUGAUUCUGAUUUCCACCUUUCAAUAUAACCACUCCAUACUUACCAUGGGUAUUGUACAAGGUGGCUAAGGGAUAAUGAGUCAUUACAAGCUAAAGCAUUCCCAAUAAGGGUUGACAGGCGGCCAGCAUUCUUCAGUUUUUUUACGCAGACCCUGGGAUUCAAAACGCUACACCCGAGAAUAACAUUUGAAAAAUAUCGGCUGUGAUUAUGAUGUGACGUCAGCUCGGAACGUUCCCUAGCUGACCAGCAGAACUAUUAAUUACGACGUGUGCGUCAGCAGCUUCAUAGUGAACAGACCACAGUCAGCACCAGGCGGAAACGACAUGGCCAGUUUUCUGUUUCCUACGUAUAGUAUGCGAUGUGUAGCGCAUGCGUCACUGUGACAAAAUAUUUACCUCACAAAAUGAAAGGAAUGUGAUGGAAAUAGCUGCUAACAUAGAAGUGAACCUUACAAAAUGAAUGCCAGUGCAAGUUGGCAAUAGUCCAUUGAAUAGUUUGAGAGCAUUAUUGUUUUGUCGACAAAGCAACUACUGGUUCCAAGUGAUUUCAAUAUUGACUCUUAUGCUCUGAGUAUACAUACAAUGAGAAUGUUUGAGAAGCAAAGAAGUAAAAUCAUCUUCGUCUACUCAACUUAUAAGAGGCUAGUAAUUUAAUUGGCUAAGACAAACAGGUGCCUACAUGCACGAAUAUUAGAAUGAUGAAGAAAUUGACAAUAGCAGGCAGUUGAAAUAAUUAUACUAUUUCAACUGCUAUUGUCAAUUUCUUCGCAAUCAUAGUGAAAAGCAGAGUAUAUACCUCUAUGUACUUCGAUCGUCUUAUAUCGGUUAUCAUCCUCCUCGCCUCAGUGAUUCAUGAUCUUAACGUGUAAUCUACUAUUAUUCCUUUAUGUAGUGCUUACAUGGUAUUUAUUUAUAUCCUUUUAUUUUUAACCUGCACUUUGUGUUAGUACAGCGUAUGUCGUAUAAAGACCCUAAAGCCUUAAGCAUAUAAAUCUAAUAGGUAGUGCAUAUUAAGUUAGAAUACAUUACCAUACGUAAACCCACGUAAGUUAGGCUUGGGUUGUCCUCAAAGUAAAUAUGAUGUCGGCUUGUAAUAAAUAACGAAGUAAAUGCGUUUUAAAAUAUAGCAGCGCGCAGUUCACAAAAUGUCUGUUACUGUCUUUUGAACCAUCUGUCUAUUCGCACGAUUGCUCACAACGACUAGACUGUAUUUAAAAUGCGCUACGUGAAAUGGAAUUACCUUGUGUCUUGCAAAAAUGAAAUAGCUAUGAACAACAAUGUCUCUUUUAUAAUAAAAGAUAAAUACAAUUAUUUUUCGUACAAUAAAGAUAAACAAAUGUAAUAGAUACAAGUGUAUUGUAAAAAUUGUUUAAUAUUUUUGUGUCUGACAUCGGAGUUAGAGUGUGGUCUAGAAUUAGACUACGCCUGGCUGUCGUACAAGGCGACUAAAUGUUCAUUAAACAAGGUUCGUUAAACACUAAAAGUUCAUAGCUAUAUAGCAUUUUGUGAACUGCGCGCUGCUAUAUUUUUUUCACCUAUGAACUUUUAGUGUUUCAUAUACAUUUUGA